AGCUCCAAUAGCGUAUAUUAAAGUUGUUGCGGUUAAAAAGCUCGUAGUUGGAUUUCUGCCGAGGACGACCGGUCCGCCCUGUGGGUUGGCAUCUGGAUUGGCUUUGGCAUCUUCUUGGGGAACGUAGCUGCACUUGACUGUGUGGUGCGGUAUCCAGGACUUUUACCUUGAGGAAAUUAGAGUGUUUCAAGCAGGCGCACGCCUUGAAUACAUUAGCAUGGAAUAAUAAGAUAGGACCUCGGUUCUAUUUUGUUGGUUUCUAGAGCUGAGGUAAUGAUUAAUAGGGAUAGUUGGGGGCAUUCGUAUUUAACUGUCAGAGGUGGAAUUCUUGGAUUGCGUUACGACAAACUACUGCGAAAGCAUUUGCCAAGGAUGUUUUCAUUGAUCAAGAACGAAAGU
RNAcentral lists this ribosomal RNA (399 nucleotides) under uncultured eukaryote. Its description in RNAcentral is "SSU rRNA". It matches the Rfam family "Eukaryotic small subunit ribosomal RNA", at positions 587 to 990 of the family's 1831-position model. The record is from RNAcentral.